Catharus ustulatus (Swainson's thrush) is the source of this 1807-nucleotide long non-coding RNA. RefSeq lists it as uncharacterized. Lineage: Eukaryota; Metazoa; Chordata; Aves; Passeriformes; Turdidae. The record is from RefSeq and is a predicted model, not a curated record. The transcript is spliced from 2 exons.
UUACUUAAAUAAUGGAUUUAUGUAGGAAGUGAACAUGUGCUGGUUCAUUUUUAAUUUAAUCUACUGAGUGAGUUGGGUCUUUACACAGUGUCAAUCUAAGUCUGUUCUGUGAACUGCAAAGUAAACUCAAGUUCACCCUCAGAAUAAAAAAAAAAAAAAAAAGUCUUAAUCAAAAGUUUCAUUGAAUCUUCUCAGGAUGAAAACAGCAGUUUUAAGUGCUGCUAAUUGGUUUUGAAUGAAGGGACAGCAAAGAAAACCAGCUGUGAUUGAGACUUGUGUGUGUUUUUAGAGGUUGCAAAAGCACCUGCAAGGAGCCCAGCCCAUCAGUUUUAUGCCCAAUGCAUAACCCUGCAAGGUUCUGUAAGUCAUUUGUAGAAAGUGCUGAUUUUAAAAAGUCAUAUUUAAAGGACUUCGUAGCCAUCUGCAGGGCUUUUUGAUAAUAGGAAAUCAAAUGGUGGAACUUUGGAGCACAGUUACUUACAAAGAAUUGUUCUGUUGGAGAAUGGAGUAUAGGGAGAGGAGAGCUCAUGCCUUAUUUUGGUGGCUAAAAGGAAUGCAGAACUCCAGAGGGGCUCUUUAAAAUGCUGUUUAUUGUACACAAACGAUGCAGCAAUUCACGGGUCAUGGGUGACAAGAGCCCAGCCCACAGCCUGUCAGCCCAGCUGUGGUUUGCUGAAAGCCUCUCUCCUUCUGCUUACAAUACAUGAUUUACAUUUCAUUGUAGAUCAUCUUAAUACAUGACAGCCAAUCAACACCUUUACAAUUACCUAUGGCCUAUCACAACUACUCACAUUGCCACAUUCACGUUACUAUUUUCCAGUCACAAAAGGUUAGUGUGUUACAGUUUAAGCUAGAAGUUGUUUUUCAGUUUUCUUGCGGUGGAAAAUUCUGAGAUCUUUACUUGGAACAUGGCGUUUUUGUUUGUGAAAAUCCUUUUGCUUGGUAAAAACAUCUUUUGAUUGAGGUGGAUUUUUUCUUUGCUCAGAGCCAUAAAAGCCCCUUCCAACUCACUUGCUCUUUGCCUUUUUAGCUACCCUGUGAAACUGGCUCAGCAAUUCUUUUCUUCUAUACCAAAACUCGCUGUCAUUUCUAUACCUUCUUCAGAUUCUCCAUUCAAAGAUCUUUCUGCUAUACAUACAUACAUAUCUGUACAUAUAUCUACACAUCAUACAUAUCCUGUCAAAUCCUCCUCCUUCCCAACAGAUGGCGAUGUUGGAAAUAAUAAGAGAAGUCCUGACACUAUGCUCUGUUUUUGAAAAUGUGUACUUUUGUGGACCUGAAUGAAAAGUGGGGCUGGGAAAUUCUGAGGUGCAAGUUUAGCUAUGUUUCAAAUUGUUUUCUCUGUGAAGGAGCACUAUAAACAUAGACUGGAGCAGACUGAUUUCUGUGGACUGAAAGGAGCUUGGAGGAUUGGAUUCAACCAAAAAUCUCAACUGGAAAGAAUUUAAUAUGAAGCAAGAAUUACAGAGUUUAUGCUUGCUGUAGUACAGGACUAACCAAAUACCUGCCAGAAGUCUUUCAGAAACAUGCUUAGCCAUGUUCUAGGAACAAGGGGCUUAGAAACACGGCUUUGCUCUUCUCCUGUCUAACUGAUGGGAGGGACUGAAGUUCUGAGGUGUUCUCAAGGCUUCUCUUGCCUGCAUAGAGAAGUCUGUAAUGUGUCAGCUGGAAAAAGCACAGGUGCUGCCUGCAGGCAGGCACCCAGGCAGGAAGAGCUUUUAUUCUGCAAAUGGCUUCUGUGUGGCAAUGUGGAUUAUGGUGCAGUGCAAGCAAUUUAACUGCUAAGUGUUCUAUUUCAAUUUCAUAA